Molecule: long non-coding RNA, 227 nt
Filed under: Elaeis guineensis (African oil palm)
Lineage: Eukaryota; Viridiplantae; Streptophyta; Magnoliopsida; Arecales; Arecaceae
Description: long non-coding RNA (EGUI_LNC056739)
Source: RNAcentral
CAUAGCUCAGGUAAUCACCUUCUACUUUUAGCUCCAUCAUACCAGCACCUCAUUCUAUCCCUUUUUCCCAACUCUAGCAUGACCUUCACAUACUCAAUUUCAUCACACCAAACCCUUCUUCUAGCUCCAUCACCUCUUCUUCCCAACUCCAUCAUCCUCUUCUCCUAUUCAUCACAUCAUCCCUUAGGCCAUCCUUGCCCACCCCCAACUAACUCCUCUUACUCGCC